AUGGACACGUCGAGCCGGAGGCGCCGGAGCCUGGAGCGGUCAGGCUCCGUGCUGCCAAGGUCGUUCGAAGUGCCCGACCCAAAGCCAGCCCCUGCAGCGGCCGCCAUCACCAAUGCCACGGUGUCCCCGCUGACCGGCAACUCAGAGUUCUACCACUUCCACCAUGCCGAAGACCUGCUCGACCAACGGUUCAGCUCAAACUCUCUCGUCGAAGACUUCCCGGCGACCCUAGACGCCGCGUUCCCGGGCCCUACCAAGAAGCCACGGCGUCUAGGCAAGGCGUGGAGCUUCUGGGGCUUCAUACACCGCCGGGCCACGGGCCGCCGGGGCAGCCCGUCCGACGCCGCGGACCACGCGUUCUCGGAGCCGUGGCCGGAGCUGCGCGUCCGCGGGUACAUCAACGCCGGGAUGCAGAGGUGCAACAGCAACGCCAGCGCGCGCAGCUCAUUCAGCAGCAACAGCGCCGGCCUGGGCAGCUCGCGGCGCUGCUUCGUCGACGGCCACGGCAGCGUCAAGCGGCGACAGGAAGACCAGUGCGUGCUGGAGCGGAACCGCAGCGCUCGGUACUCGCCGGGGCACCACGCCGACAACGGCAUGCUGCGGUUCUACCUGACCCCGCUGCGGAGCGCCAGCGGCCGGCGCGGCGCCACCGGGCUGCCGGCCAACGGCGGCCGGCACCUGCGGUCGCAGUCGUUCGCGAGGAGCAUGCUCCGGCUGUACUGA
Molecule: ribosomal RNA, 723 nt
Filed under: Triticum aestivum (bread wheat)
Lineage: Eukaryota; Viridiplantae; Streptophyta; Magnoliopsida; Poales; Poaceae
Description: partial small subunit ribosomal RNA
Source: RNAcentral